GAGAAUGGUCUAAUACACUAUUACUUCAAAUGUUUAUUAUUUUUUGUGGAGAGAACAUUUGAAACUUAGCAAUUUUGAAGUACAAAAUACAUAAUUAUUUAUAGUAUCAAUACUGUGCAGAUCUCAAAAAAUAUAUUAUUUCUCUCUAACUAAAACUUUGUACCAUCUGACCAAUAUCUUCUCAUUUUCCGCACUGACCAGCCUCUGGCAACCACCAUUCCACUCUCUACUGCUACGAGCUCGAUGGUUUUCACUUAGUGUAAUGUUCUCCAGAUUUACCCAUAUUGUCAUAAAUGACAGAAUUUCCUGUUUUUUCAAGACUGCAUAGUAUUCUAUUGUUACAUAU
RNAcentral lists this long non-coding RNA (346 nucleotides) under Pan troglodytes (chimpanzee). Its description in RNAcentral is "long non-coding RNA NONPTRT013646". Lineage: Eukaryota; Metazoa; Chordata; Mammalia; Primates; Hominidae. The record is from RNAcentral.